UCCGGCUUAUCACCGGCAGUCCCUCUAGAGUGCCCAACUAAAUGAUGGCAACUAAAGGCGAGGGUUGCGCUCGUUGCGGGACUUAACCCAACAUCUCACGACACGAGCUGACGACAGCCAUGCAGCACCUGUGUUCCCGCCAGCCGAACUGAAGAACCCCAUCUCUGGGGCCCAUACGGGACAUGUCAAAGGCUGGUAAGGUUCUUCGCGUAGCAUCGAAUUAAGCAACACGCUCCGCUGCUUGUGCGGGCCCCCGUCAAUUUCUUUGAGUUUUAAUCUUGCGACCGUACUCCCCAGGCGGCAUAUUUAACGCGUUAGCUCCGGCACAGAUCAACUGAAUGACCUACACCAAAUAUGCAUCGUUUAGGGCGUGGACUAC
RNAcentral lists this unclassified non-coding RNA (379 nucleotides) under uncultured bacterium. RNAcentral's name for it is "contains 16S-23S intergenic spacer region". The record is from RNAcentral.